AAGUCGUAACAAGGUUGCCGUAGGUGAACCUGCGGCAGGAUCAUUACUGAUCAAAAAAAAGUCGCAUUUUGCUUUCUUUCGAGAGAGCGAGAUUCGCAACUCGCUUGGUGUGUGUGGAGAAACCCUUUCGUCUUUUACCGUACGAAGGUCUUCUCUGCGCGUGGGGAAAGUUUUGUCUCGCGUACGAAACUUUUUUUUUCCCAACCAGGCACCCACAACAAAACAAACAAACAAACAAACAAACAAACAAAAAAUAUCGCACCUUCGGUGGAUCACUCGGCUGGUG
This 286-nucleotide unclassified non-coding RNA is filed under the name fungal sp. Its description in RNAcentral is "partial internal transcribed spacer region". The stretch from base 1 to 46 matches the Rfam family "Eukaryotic small subunit ribosomal RNA", at positions 1786 to 1831 of the family's 1831-position model. Lineage: Eukaryota; Fungi. The record is from RNAcentral.